GGGAAUGUAGAAAUCUAAAGGCUGGCUGGGCUCUGCUGAUUCUUCACAUUGAUCCCUGUCCGUAGCCAACCGCUUUUCCCUUCUUCACUGUGCACGGGGCUUUGGCAGUUUGAUUGGUCCUGACUCAAGUUUGGCAUGAAACAAAGGUAACUCCUCAAGGGUAUUCUUUGCUUUCUGACCUUUUGUCAUAGCAAUAUCACAUGCUGUUACUGCUGUUUGAAGACUUGGCUGAUCUUGUUGUUUAGGCUGCUCAAUUGAUGCCUGAUGUGCUUCCUGUCUCAUCUUGCCUGUUCUAUCAAGUCAAGCAGUGUGGGGACAUUGUGACCAAGAAAAACUGCAUAUGGCAACAUGGGCACUAAGGCUAUUGACAGGAGGUAAGUUUGACCACCACCCGUAAGAGAAACCUCAGCUGUGUGGUAUGGUAUGGUAUGGUAUGCCAUCACCAUGAACACAUCUGAUGUUGGAAGUAACCUCACUCCACAGUUCUCUGGGCUCUAACCUUGGCAGAACAGCAGACUGAAAACGACCAGAGUCUUGAAGGGCCUUCUCACACUGACCAUUCACUAAUGAUGGCGAAGUGAGUGCUUCUUCUUGAACUGGGGCUGGAUAAUUAUAUCCAGGAACUGAGCACAAAAGAAAGGGCUUACUCUGCCUAGUGGCAGGGCAUGAGUAUUGUGUGUGACUUAUCUCAUUACACUGAUAGCAACAUGUGUCCUGCCUAGAACUAGAAAAUAACUUCCCGCUGGUGUUUGGUUUACUAGGAGAGAAAUAUCUGGCCCCAGAAUGAGGUCUAACCUGAGCUUGAUCACCCCUUUCACAGCCAUUUGAUUUACUGCAUCCAGAGAAGCUGUCAUCUCGACCAAAGGGGUUCUUCUGGGCCCGGUUCUGGCUGACAGGACCACAGAGGCUUGAUACAACGCCCACAAACAGGUGUGAGGAGGACGGGGCAAGCUGUAGCACCAAGUGGACUGGGAUGACAUGGGAGUGGGACAUGAGGGACUGAGCAGCAGCAAUGGUAGAGGAAUGGAAGCUGUGGUGAAGACCCAGAUGGAACUGCCUGGCACCACAGCUGCAAACCAUGUGCUCCAACAAACAAAGAAACAAACACAUCACAACAUAUACUGUAAUUUCUCAGACAUCGAGGAUGUGCAUAUGUUGAAGAAAACAUCCGUUGACACUGACUUGCUUAAUAAUAAUUUUAUUGCAAAGAACACAACAUCUGAUCAGGCACCAUGCUCUGCCCGAUGGAGAAUUCAAAGCCAAUAUGAACCUCCCAGAACAACAGUAUCCACCCGCUUAUAUAGCGUUGGUCACAUAUGAAGUCAUAACAUAUGGUUCCUGUUAAAGGACCACAAUAAAAACAAAGGGCCCCUUCAAUCAACCCCCUUGACUUUGUGGCACCCAAAGAGCCCCAUCGAUCAACUUCCUGGACAUUGGGACCCCUAUCUAAACACGGCAUUGAAUUCCUUCA
Molecule: long non-coding RNA, 1471 nt
Organism: Amphiprion ocellaris (clown anemonefish)
Lineage: Eukaryota; Metazoa; Chordata; Actinopteri; Pomacentridae
Source: Ensembl